RNAcentral lists this long non-coding RNA (696 nucleotides) under Olea europaea (common olive). RNAcentral describes it as "long non-coding RNA (OEUR_LNC014419)". Lineage: Eukaryota; Viridiplantae; Streptophyta; Magnoliopsida; Lamiales; Oleaceae. The record is from RNAcentral.
UUUUGUGUAUUUCCUCGAAUUUUACCUAUUUCGAAAUUUUUUGGGUUUUUCAAUCUCGCCUUUCCCCUUCUACUGCAAUUCAGAGUUUUGCUCCUCCCUUAUCUCAUCUUCCCAUUAAAUCAAAGCCCUAAUCGAUACCCAGUGGAGAAUCUCUCCAGUGAGACUGAGCUAUUUCCGGUUGUUAAUUUCUCUCCAAAUCCGGCCAAGGAUUUUGAGAUCUUUCUUCUCCGACUUAUUUGACUUUCAAUUAAUCAGGUAAAAACACCAAAUGUAUCUAUAUAAUAUAUUAUGCUGCAUGAACUUUUAUAUGGGUAUAUUUUUGGGUACUUCAUGGUUUAAGAUGUUUUUGCAGGCUUGGAUCUUAAUUCUUUAUCUAAUUUAUGAAAAAUACCAUCAUGUCCAUCUCUAUUAAGUUUCGGGAAAGACAAUUCAACAUUUUGGCGUCUCUACAUUCCUCUAUGCUGUUGUAAAUGUAAAACUCGUCAAUAUAACGAAGUCUCUAUCGUUGUGGAUUUUCAAUACGCAGACAUGUAGUAGUUGGUGAAAUAUUCAAGNAUGAUGAUAGAAGGGAUCUCUAUAUUUUGUGUUAUAUUAUGAAUGUUUGUCAUAUGUACAACAAUAACAGAUUAAGCUUAUUUCGAAUAAACUCGGGAUGGGCUAUAAUAAUGCUUUUUUGCUACUCACUCUGCAUGGAUG